Molecule: ribosomal RNA, 497 nt
Filed under: uncultured bacterium
Lineage: Bacteria
Description: partial 16S ribosomal RNA
Rfam family: Bacterial small subunit ribosomal RNA
Source: RNAcentral
GAUGAACGCUGGCGGCGUGCCUAAUACAUGCAAGUCGAGCGAACAGACGAGGAGCUUGCUCCGCUGACGUUAGCGGCGGACGGGUGAGUAACACGUGGAUAACCUACCUAUAAGACUGGGAUAACUUCGGGAAACCGGAGCUAAUACCGGAUAAUAUAUUGAACCGCAGGGUUCAAUAGUGAAAGACGGUUUUGCUGUCACUAAUAGAUGGAUCCGCGCCGCAUUAGCUAGUUGGUAAGGUAACGGCUUACCAAGGCAACGAUGCGUAGCCGACCGGAGAGGGUGAUCGGCCACACUGGAACUGAGACACGGUCCAGACUCCUACGGGAGGCAGCAGUGGGGAAUCUUCCGCAAUGGGCGAAAGCCUGACGGAGCAACGCCGCGUGAGUGAUGAAGGUCUUCGGAUCGUAAAACUCUGUUAUUAGGGAAGAACAAAUGUGUAAGUAACUAUGCACGUCUUGACGGUACCUAAUCAGAAAGCCACGGCUAACUACGUG